RNAcentral lists this ribosomal RNA (421 nucleotides) under uncultured soil bacterium. RNAcentral's name for it is "bacterial SSU rRNA". It matches the Rfam family "Bacterial small subunit ribosomal RNA", at positions 26 to 480 of the family's 1533-position model. The record is from RNAcentral.
AGAACGAACGCUGGCGGCAUGCCUAAUACAUGCAAGUCGAACGAACUCUUCGGAGUUAGUGGCGCACGGGUGCGUAACGCGUGGGAAUCUGCCCUUGGGUUCGGAAUAACAGUUGGAAACGACUGCUAAUACCGGAUGAUGACGAAAGUCCAAAGAUUUAUCGCCCAGGGAUGAGCCCGCGUAGGAUUAGCUAGUUGGUGAGGUAAAGGCUCACCAAGGCGACGAUCCUUAGCUGGUCUGAGAGGAUGAUCAGCCACACUGGGACUGAGACACGGCCCAGACUCCGACGGGAGCAGCAGUAGGGAAUAUUGGACAAGUGGGACGAAAGCCUGAUCCGAAGCAAGUCGCCGCGGUGAGUGAGUAGAACGGUCGUUAAGGGUUAGUAAAGGUCUUACCUUUUACCCGGAGAUAGAUAAUAGAC